UACGGAGGGUGCAAGCGUUGUCCGGAUUUAUUGGGUUUAAAGGGUGCGUAGGCGGCUAUUUAAGUCAGUGGUGAAAUCCAACAGCUUAACUGUUGAACUGCCAUUGAUACUGGAUGGCUUGAGUACAGACGAGGUAGGCGGAAUUUAUGGUGUAGCGGUGAAAUGCAUAGAUACCAUAAAGAACACCGAUUGCGAAGGCAGCUUACUAGGCUGUAACUGACGCUGAGGCACGAAAGCUAGGGGAGCAAACAGG
Molecule: ribosomal RNA, 253 nt
Filed under: uncultured bacterium
Lineage: Bacteria
Description: partial 16S ribosomal RNA
Rfam family: Bacterial small subunit ribosomal RNA
Source: RNAcentral